GACGAACGCUGGCGGCGUGCUUAACACAUGCAAGUCGAACGAUGAAGCUAGAGCUUGCUCUGGUGAAUUAGUGGCGAACGGGUGAGUAACACGUGAGUAACCUGCCCCGAACUCUGGGAUAACUGCUGGAAACGGUAGCUAAUACUGGAUACGACCUACGAAGGCAUCUGUUGUAGGUGGAAAGAAUUUCGGUUCGGGAUGGAUUCGCGGCCUAUCAGCUGGUUGGUGAGGUAAUGGCUCUCCAAGGCGACGACGGGUAGCCGGCCUGAGAGGGUGACCGGCCACACUGGGACUGAGACACGGCCCAGACUCCUACGGGAGGCAGCAGUGGGGAAUAUUGCACAAUGGGCGCAAGCCUGAUGCAGCAACGCCGCGUGAGGGAUGACGGCCUUCGGGUUGUAAACCUCUUUUAGUAGGGAAGAAGCGAAAGUGACGGUACCUGCAGAAAAAGCACCGGCUAACUACGUGCCAGCAGCCGCAGUAA
This 484-nucleotide ribosomal RNA is filed under the name uncultured bacterium. Its description in RNAcentral is "partial 16S ribosomal RNA". It matches the Rfam family "Bacterial small subunit ribosomal RNA", at positions 28 to 523 of the family's 1533-position model. The record is from RNAcentral.